RNAcentral lists this ribosomal RNA (467 nucleotides) under uncultured bacterium. RNAcentral's name for it is "partial 16S ribosomal RNA". It matches the Rfam family "Bacterial small subunit ribosomal RNA", at positions 28 to 507 of the family's 1533-position model. The record is from RNAcentral.
GACGAACGCUGGCGGCGUGCUUAACACAUGCCAGUCGAACGGAAAGGCCUCUUUCGGGGGGUACUCGAGUGGCGAACGGGUGAGUAACACGUGAGUAACCUGCCCUUGACUUUGGGAUAACUUCAGGAAACUGGGGCUAAUACCGGAUAGGAGCUCCUGCUGCAUGGUGGGGGUUGGAAAGUUUCGGCGGUUGGGGAUGGACUCGCGGCUUAUCAGCUUGUUGGUGGGGUAGUGGCUUACCAAGGCUUUGACGGGUAGCCGGCCUGAGAGGGUGACCGGCCACAUUGGGACUGAGAUACGGCCCAGACUCCUACGGGAGGCAGCAGUGGGGAAUAUUGCACAAUGGGUGGAAGCCUGAUGCAGCAACGCCGUGUGCGGGAUGACGGCCUUCGGGUUGGAAACCGCUUUCGCUCAUGACGAAGCUUUGCGUGACGGUAGUGGGUAAAGAAGCACCGGCUAACUACGUG